This 495-nucleotide ribosomal RNA is filed under the name uncultured bacterium. Its description in RNAcentral is "partial 16S ribosomal RNA". It matches the Rfam family "Bacterial small subunit ribosomal RNA", at positions 28 to 505 of the family's 1533-position model. The record is from RNAcentral.
GAUGAACGCUGGCGGCGUGCCUAAUACAUGCAGGUCGAGCGAACAGACGAGGAGCUUGCUCCUCUGACGUUAGCGGCGGACGGGUGAGUAACACGUGGAUAACCUACCUAUAAGACUGGGAUAACUUCGGGAAACCGGAGCUAAUACCGGAUAAUAUAUUGAACCGCAUGGUUCAAUAGUGAAAGACGGUUUUGCUGUCACUUAUAGAUGGAUCCGCGCCGCAUUAGCUAGUUGGUAAGGUAACGGCUUACCAAGGCAACGAUGCGUAGCCGACCUGAGAGGGUGAUCGGCCACACUGGAACUGAGACACGGUCCAGACUCCUACGGGAGGCAGCAGUAGGGAAUCUUCCGCAAUGGGCGAAAGCCUGACGGAGCAACGCCGCGUGAGUGAUGAAGGUCUUCGGAUCGUAAAACUCUGUUAUUAGGGAAGAACAAAUGUGUAAGUAACUAUGCACGUCUUGACGGUACCUAAUCAGAAAGCCACGGCUAACUACG